UACGUAGGGUGCAAGCGUUGUCCGGAAUUAUUGGGCGUAAAGAGCUCGUAGGCGGUUUGUCGCGUCUGCUGUGAAAACUCGGGGCUUAACCCCGGGCCUGCAGUGGGUACGGGCAGACUAGGGUGCGGUAGGGGAGACUGGAAUUCCUGGUGUAGCGGUGAAAUGCGCAGAUAUCAGGAGGAACACCGGUGGCGAAGGCGGGUCUCUGGGCCGUAACUGACGCUGAGGAGCGAAAGCAUGGGGAGCGAACAGG
This 253-nucleotide ribosomal RNA is filed under the name uncultured bacterium. RNAcentral's name for it is "partial 16S ribosomal RNA". It matches the Rfam family "Bacterial small subunit ribosomal RNA", at positions 524 to 776 of the family's 1533-position model. The record is from RNAcentral.